Molecule: small nuclear RNA, 22 nt
Filed under: Arabidopsis thaliana (thale cress)
Lineage: Eukaryota; Viridiplantae; Streptophyta; Magnoliopsida; Brassicales; Brassicaceae
Description: snRNA_07530
Source: RNAcentral
AACUGCUCCAAAACCAGUUGCU